RNAcentral lists this small RNA (45 nucleotides) under Arabidopsis thaliana (thale cress). RNAcentral describes it as "ATSL000130". Lineage: Eukaryota; Viridiplantae; Streptophyta; Magnoliopsida; Brassicales; Brassicaceae. The record is from RNAcentral.
UUUUUUAUUACGAAACAUAGUUUGUGUUUUUGCGGUCACUCCUAU